GAAGAUUCGCAAAUGUAGGUCUAAAUCCAGUGUAGUACGUUGAAGGGAACUUUUCCCGAAUUGCCCACACAACACAUGAUGGCAGCACAUGACGGUUCCCUUCGCCAAGGUGCCCCCAGAGCCAGGAUGCACACUGCCGGUCUGCUGCUUCAUGGCCGUGGGCCAGCAUGUCAUUUAUUGAACUUGACACUGGAGAUGACACAUUUUGUUUGACAACUUCAAUUUGAGCUUUCAGAAAGCAGCUUGCAGCUUUCAGAGAAACAGUGACUACCUAUAUUACUCUGACACUCAUGCAAUCACCUCUGGAAGAGAGCAUUACGGAUGGUCUGGAGGAAUGCAUGUGGAGACAUCUGAAGACUCUAAACAAAUUUUAUGAAAUGGUAAUGCAGCUGCGUUUGUGUUUCACUGGUACGUUGGAGUCUUACAAUUUCCCUUUGACUUUUGUUGCGCAUGAGAGCAUCGUCAUGGAUGGCCUGGAA
Molecule: long non-coding RNA, 479 nt
Organism: Ornithodoros turicata
Lineage: Eukaryota; Metazoa; Arthropoda; Arachnida; Ixodida; Argasidae
Exons: 4
Source: RefSeq, a predicted model, not a curated record